This 1539-nucleotide ribosomal RNA is filed under the name Triticum aestivum (bread wheat). Its description in RNAcentral is "partial small subunit ribosomal RNA". The record is from RNAcentral. Lineage: Eukaryota; Viridiplantae; Streptophyta; Magnoliopsida; Poales; Poaceae.
AUGGAUCUGCCGCAGAGAGCCAUGUUGGGUGGCGCUGUCUUGCCGCCCGACUGCCUGCUGGACCGCCGCGUCCGCACGGACUUUGACGACGAUGAUGAGAAUGAUCUGAUCGGCCUGCAGCCAUUCAAGAUACUCAGGUGCGUGGAGAAGACGGCGGUGGGGUUCACUCCUGAGAUGCAGGGCUAUGCCACUGAGGUAGUUGAGAGCUUACACCUUGGUCUGCAUCUCGCCAGCGGACCGCCAGGCCUAUCUUGUCUCGGCCUCCGAGGCGGCAGCCCAUUGACCAAGGUCGAAGCCGUUGAUCAAGGCAUCAUCGUCCUCACGACCACAUUUCUGCAUGACUUUAGCCGCAUUGUAUAUCUGGUUUAUGAUGCCGACAACGGAUCACUGCACAUGGCCCCUGCGCCGGAAGACCCCUCAUGGCUAUUCACGGGUCUCACUGUUCGCCUUCUCAUCGUGCGCCCCAAUUAUGGUGACUACACGCUGGCCCUAUUGGGGAAGCUGGAUGGAGAGGGGGAUGCACUCUUGGUUUGGCAACCCAGCUCCUCGUCCGUGCCACCGUGGUCCAAGAUCAAGGCAGUUGGCGUUGAAUCACUCAUCGGCAAGAGCUCGUUGCAAGUUGACUGCACCUUUUCAGCCAGUGGCAUGAGCUGCUGGGCGGAUCUUCUGAGGGGCGUCACCUUCUGCAACCCCGGCCUCUUCAGUACAGGGCUCCACAAUAAAGAAUACAUUCUCAAGUUUGGCUUCUUUCCCCUGCCCCAAGAGUUGGUUGAAAAGUCCAAGGAUCAUCGACGUAGCAACAGCCGAGUGGCACGGCCAGAAGCCUACCGCACCAUGGGCACCACCCUCCAAACUUGGUGGCGUAAAUUCCCCCCGUUCUACAAUGUCAGGUUUGUCUCCAUCGAUGGCUUCCUUGAGCCCAUCGAUCUCAAGGACCGCGCCGUAACCGUGUGGUGGCUGUGCCAAAAAGGGCUCGAGUGGAAGCUGGAGUACAAGAUCAGCCUCGAGGCUCUGUGGGAAUUCAAUGGAUUUGGCGAUCUGCCAAGGAAUUUAACUCCAAUGUACCCCCUCCUCAGCCCAAAUGAUCAUGAGAUGGUUUAUUUUGCACUUGGUGAAUGGCGUGAAAACCAGAGCAACUGGUUGUUCAUCCCGACAUGUGCGCGAUAUUUACUUGCCAUCAACCCACAGCACAAGACCGUAGUUGCCUCUGUGUGUCUCGCUGACUAUUUUGGAAAUCCUAACAUCCCUCCUGACAUCAUCAGCUCUGAUUUCCAGCGGCACAUCCAUACCGUGAGUCUGGAUCUUCACAUAAUGUUGAUGGAAACGAUGAAGCAGAUGUCAUUGACAUCGUUGGACCCUGCUGAAUAUGAUGAAGAGGAGGCUAAGAAGCUGAUGAAGGAGGAGCCAUGGACCUGGCAAGAAAAACUGAAGGAACAAGAUAGGCCUCUUCCUCUUCCUCUUCCAGCUCGGUACUACAGGCAGCCUUCUUUGGCUCGACUCAUAGGCAAUGCAGAUACCAUUCUGAAGCUAUCAGAUUGA